UACCAGCACCCCGAGUGGUCGGGACGUUUAUUGGGCCUAAAGCAUCCGUAGCCGGUUCUACAAGUCUUCCGUUAAAUCCAACUGCUUAACAGGUGGGCCUGCGGAAGAUACUAUAGAGCUAGGAGGCGGGAGAGGCAAGCGGUACUCGAUGGGUAGGGGUAAAAUCCGUUGAUCCAUUGAAGACCACCAGUGGCGAAGGCGGCUUGCCAGAACGCGCUCGACGGUGAGGGAUGAAAGCUGGGGGAGCAAACCGG
This 254-nucleotide ribosomal RNA is filed under the name uncultured bacterium. RNAcentral's name for it is "partial 16S ribosomal RNA". It matches the Rfam family "Archaeal small subunit ribosomal RNA", at positions 474 to 727 of the family's 1478-position model. The record is from RNAcentral.